AUUGAACGCUGGCGGCAGGCCUAACACAUGCAAGUCGAACGGUAACAGGAAGCAGCUUGCUGCUUCGCUGACGAGUGGCGGACGGGUGAGUAAUGUCUGGGAAACUGCCUGAUGGAGGGGGACAACUACUGGAAACGGUAGCUAAUACCGCAUAACGUCGCAAGACCAAAGAGGGGGACCUUCGGGCCUCUUGCCAUCGGAUGUGCCCAGAUGGGAUUAGCUAGUAGGUGGGGUAACGGCUCACCUAGGCGACGAUCCCUAGCUGGUCUGAGAGGAUGACCAGCCACACUGGAACUGAGACACGGUCCAGACUCCUACGGGAGGCAGCAGUGGGGAAUAUUGCACAAUGGGCGCAAGCCUGAUGCAGCCAUGCCGCGUGUAUGAAGAAGGCCUUCGGGUUGUAAAGUACUUUCAGCGGGGAGGAAGGCGAUAAGGUUAAUAACCUUGUCGAUUGACGUUACCCGCAGAAGAAGCACCGGCUAACUCCGUGCCAGCAGUCGCGGUAAUACGGAGGGUGCAAGCGUUAAUCGGAAUUACUGGGCGUAAAGCGCACGCAGGCGGUCUGUCAAGUCGGAUGUGAAAUCCCCGGGCUCAACCUGGGAACUGCAUUCGAAACUGGCAGGCUAGAGUCUUGUAGAGGGGGGUAGAAUUCCAGGUGUAGCGGUGAAAUGCGUAGAGAUCUGGAGGAAUACCGGUGGCGAAGGCGGCCCCCUGGACAAAGACUGACGCUCAGGUGCGAAAGCGUGGGGAGCAAACAGGAUUAGAUACCCUGGUAGUCCACGCCGUAAACGAUGUCGACUUGGAGGUUGUGCCCUUGAGGCGUGGCUUCCGGAGCUAACGCGUUAAGUCGACCGCCUGGGGAGUACGGCCGCAAGGUUAAAACUCAAAUGAAUUGACGGGGGCCCGCACAAGCGGUGGAGCAUGUGGUUUAAUUCGAUGCAACGCGAAGAACCUUACCUACUCUUGACAUCCAGAGAACUUAGCAGAGAUGCUUUGGUGCCUUCGGGAACUCUGAGACAGGUGCUGCAUGGCUGUCGUCAGCUCGUGUUGUGAAAUGUUGGGUUAAGUCCCGCAACGAGCGCAACCCUUAUCCUUUGUUGCCAGCGGUCCGGCCGGGAACUCAAAGGAGACUGCCAGUGAUAAACUGGAGGAAGGUGGGGAUGACGUCAAGUCAUCAUGGCCCUUACGAGUAGGGCUACACACGUGCUACAAUGGCGCAUACAAAGAGAAGCGACCUCGCGAGAGCAAGCGGACCUCAUAAAGUGCGUCGUAGUCCGGAUUGGAGUCUGCAACUCGACUCCAUGAAGUCGGAAUCGCUAGUAAUCGUGGAUCAGAAUGCCACAGUGAAUACGUUCCCGGGCCUUGUACACACCGCCCGUCACACCAUGGGAGUGGGUUGCAAAAGAAGUAGGUAGCUUAACCUUCGGGAGGGCGCUUACCACUUUGUGAUUCAUGACUGGGGUG
This 1464-nucleotide ribosomal RNA is filed under the name uncultured bacterium. RNAcentral's name for it is "bacterial SSU rRNA". It matches the Rfam family "Bacterial small subunit ribosomal RNA". The record is from RNAcentral.